UACGGAGGAUACAAGCGUUAUCCGGAUUUAUUGGGUUUAAAGGGUGCGUAGGCGGUUUUUUAAGUCUGUAGUGAAAUAUUAAAGCUUAACUUUAAAAUUGCUAUUGAUACUGAAAAACUAGAGUUAGUUUGGAGUAGCUGGAAUGUGUGGUGUAGCGGUGAAAUGCAUAGAUAUCACACAGAACACCGAUCGCGAAAGCAAGUUACUAAGCCUAUACUGACGCUGAGGCACGAAAGCAUGGGUAGCAAACAGG
This 253-nucleotide ribosomal RNA is filed under the name uncultured bacterium. RNAcentral describes it as "partial 16S ribosomal RNA". It matches the Rfam family "Bacterial small subunit ribosomal RNA", at positions 524 to 776 of the family's 1533-position model. The record is from RNAcentral.